UCGAACGGUAGCACAGUGAGCUUGCUCUCGGGUGACGAGUGGCGGACGGGUGAGUAAUGUCUGGGAAACUGCCCGAUGGAGGGGGAUAACUACUGGAAACGGUAGCUAAUACCGCAUAAUGUCGCAAGACCAAAGAGGGGGACCUUCGGGCCUCUUGCCAUCGGAUGUGCCCAGAUGGGAUUAGCUUGUAGGUGGGGUAACGGCUCACCUAGGCGACGAUCCCUAGCUGGUCUGAGAGGAUGACCAGCCACACUGGAACUGAGACACGGUCCAGACUCCUACGGGAGGCAGCAGUGGGGAAUAUUGCACAAUGGGCGCAAGCCUGAUGCAGCCAUGCCGCGUGUAUGAAGAAGGCCUUCGGGUUGUAAAGUACUUUCAGCGAGGAGGAAGGCGUUGUGGUUAAUAACCACAGCGAUUGACGUUACUCGCAGAAGAAGCACCGGCUAACUCCGUGCCAGCAGCCGCGGUAAUA
This 472-nucleotide ribosomal RNA is filed under the name Citrobacter freundii. RNAcentral describes it as "bacterial SSU rRNA". It matches the Rfam family "Bacterial small subunit ribosomal RNA", at positions 62 to 525 of the family's 1533-position model. The record is from RNAcentral. Lineage: Bacteria; Pseudomonadati; Pseudomonadota; Gammaproteobacteria; Enterobacterales; Enterobacteriaceae.